UAACCGGCUUCGAAAGAGGCCGCUGAACGAUCAGAAGUCAGCCGAGGCCAUAGUACCUGUUAUUCUAGAGAACAGGGAAGGGC
RNAcentral lists this non-coding RNA (83 nucleotides) under Alteribacillus iranensis. The record is from RNAcentral. Lineage: Bacteria; Bacillati; Bacillota; Bacilli; Caryophanales; Bacillaceae.